GGGUGACUGCGUACCUUUUGUAUAAUGGGUCAGCGACUUAUAUUCUGUAGCAAGGUUAACCGUAUAGGGGAGCCGUAGGGAAACCGAGUCUUAACUGGGCGAAUAAGUUGCAGGGUAUAGACCCGAAACCCGGUGAUCUAGCCAUGGGCAGGUUGAAGGUUGGGUAACACUAACUGGAGGACCGAACCGACUAAUGUUGAAAAAUUAGCGGAUGACUUGUGGCUGGGGGUGAAAGGCCAAUCAAACCGGGAGAUAGCUGGUUCUCCCCGAAAGCUAUUUAGGUAGCGCCUCGUGAACUCAUCUUCGGGGGUAGAGCACUGUUUCGACUAGGGGGUCAUCCCGACUUACCAACUCGAUGCAAACUACGAAUACCGAAGAAUGUUAUCACGGGAGACACACGGCGGGUGCUAACGUUCGUCGUGAAGAGGGAAACAACCCAGACCGCCAGCUAAGGUCCCAAAGUCAUAGUUAAGUGGGAAACGAAGUGGGAAGGCUCAGACAGCCAGGAUGUUGGCUUAGAAGCAGCCAUCAUUUAAAGAAAGCGUAAUAGCUCACUGGUCGAGUCGGCCUGCGCGGAAGAUGUAACGGGGCUAAACUAUGCACCGAAGCUGCGGCAGCGAUAUUUAGAUAUUGUUGGGUAGGGGAGCGUUCUGUAAGCCUGUGAAGGUGUGCUGUGAGGCAUGCUGGAGGUAUCAGAAGUGCGAAUGCUGACAUAAGUAACGAUAAUGCGGGUGAAAAACCCGCACGCCGGAAGACCAA
This 759-nucleotide ribosomal RNA is filed under the name Providencia rettgeri. RNAcentral describes it as "partial 23S ribosomal RNA". It matches the Rfam family "Bacterial large subunit ribosomal RNA", at positions 591 to 1348 of the family's 2925-position model. The record is from RNAcentral. Lineage: Bacteria; Pseudomonadati; Pseudomonadota; Gammaproteobacteria; Enterobacterales; Morganellaceae.